ACUGAUAAAGGCAAACCAAGGGAAACCUUGGGACGCAAAGCCACCGGUCCCAUCCUUUCUUAAAAAAGGAAGGGAGAGCGGGGCUGCCAAAG
Molecule: non-coding RNA, 92 nt
Filed under: Candidatus Omnitrophota
Lineage: Bacteria; Pseudomonadati
Description: Candidatus Omnitrophica c-di-GMP sequence
Rfam family: c-di-GMP-I-GGC riboswitch aptamer
Source: RNAcentral